Long non-coding RNA from Apis cerana (Asiatic honeybee), 1896 nucleotides. RefSeq lists it as uncharacterized. The record is from RefSeq and is a predicted model, not a curated record. NCBI's taxonomy places the organism in Eukaryota, Metazoa, Arthropoda, Insecta, Hymenoptera, Apidae.
AUAGAAAUAACCCAUUCGAUGGCUCACAUAGAUACAAACCUAAUAUUAGAUUUUCUCUACAGUAGAUUCAACACUUAAAUAUUGAUAUGUAUGAAUAUGAUAUACAUUUAAAAGAUAAAUAUGUAAAGUUCAAAAACAAGUGAAACGAGAAAAUAAUUAAUUUUUAUUAAAGAGAAGUAUGACUUAGGUUAAAUUAUCAAUGAAAGCCAAUUAAUAAUUACCAUUAUUUAAAACUAGUAAGAGAAUUAAUGAGUGAAAAGAUGAGAGGCUUUCUUUAAAAAAAAAUAUAGAAUAUAUUUUGUCCAAAAGUGGUAAUGUAAAAUCGAUCGAAAAUAUGAAAAAGGAAUGAAUGCACAUGUCUCUUACAAAUAACCAGUUUUCUUACGCGAUGUUGCAUCUUAUUACGUUCGAAUUUAUGUUUGUUUUCUUUUAGACGUAACAGUGGCGAAUUAUCGUGAAAGCGCUCACAUAAUACUCAAAAUAAAAUGCGUAUAUAUAAACGGAUGUUAAAUCAGAGCCAUGGAUCUGUCUAGUAGAGAAAGUAACUAGUUUCCUUUUCCUGGUUCGUAUAUAUCUUUUUUUCCCUUUUUGUACAUUCAUUGAUAAAGCCGAAUAAGGAUGUAAUAUAUUUAUAGAAAAUUUUUAGAAUGUUUAUUUUAUAGGCCAAAAUAAAUACGAAAAUUGAUAUGUAAAAAUAUUCAUUAAGAAUUAAUAAUUUAUCAAGUAAUUUAAAUUUAUGUUAGAUGAAAAUAGAUAGAAAUACUAUAAAACGACAAUGUGACAAAGAUAAAACAAUUUUACUCUACCUUUCUUUUGUUUCAUAUAACAAAUUCAAUAUGAUUUCUAAUAAGAAUGAUAUUAUUGUUGAUUUGAAUUUUUAUUAUUGAAUUUUUGAAAGUAAUCAUUCUAUAUUUUUUAUCAUGUUUCUUAUGAUUGUUAUUUAACAUAUUUUACAUGCUAAAAUGUACAAUAUAUAUGUAAUAAAUCGUGUCUGAGUGUAAUAAAAUACAUAAUUUUUGAUAAAAUAUUUUUACUUGUAUAUUUAUAAAUAUGUCUUUUACGUGUAUAUAUACAUAUAUAUCUACAUUAAGUUGAUGCAUAUAAAAUCCCGUUUUUUUCACAAUAAAAAAUUAAUAAUAAUAUUUAUUGUUUUAAUUACCAUUGAAAAAAUUUGAUCCAAACUACAUAAUUGAAUAAUAAUAAAAAAUAAUAUAAAAUUAUAAAUCUUUCAAUAUUCAAUUUUUUAUAUGAAUUUAAAAAAUUAUAGAAAAAAUUAUUGAAAAAAUAUAUAUAAAAAUAUUUAGAAAAGAAUGGAGAUUUCUUACUCGAUAAAUUGUUUUGAAAUGAUAUAAUGAAAAAAUAUGUAAAUAAGAAACUAGAAGAAAAAUUAUAUCGAAUAAUUCAUAUAAAUAAACUAAUUAUUGGUUAAGAAAUAUAUGCAUAUAAUAAAAUUUGAAUAUUAUGAUAAUUAAAUAAAAUUAUUUUAAUUAAAUAUAUGAUGUUUCGAAAAAAAGAUUUAUUUAAAAAAGUAACAUUUUAUAUGUACCAAUAUUGUACCAAUAUGUACCAAUCUUCGUUGCGAAGUCAUCAAUGGAAUUUAGAAACACGUUUUUCAUAACGUUAAAUUUUAAAUGAUGUUAGAUUAGAAUCUGAUUUAUUAUGUUAUCAUCGUUUAUUUCAUAAUUUGAGCAAAAUCUAAUCAUUGAAAAAUAAGAAAAAAAAAUGACAAAUGAAAAAUGAUUGGAAGAAAGAACAUCAAAGCAUUUUUUUUUUUUUUUUUUUGAUUUUCAAAGUAUUAUCAGCACAUGAUAGUUUCGCAUCCAUUUCACAAAAUAAGAAUCAGACAAAACGUCAACAAUUAUAAAUAAGAAACAAACAAAAAAAAAAAAGAAGAAA